UCUUAGUUGAAUAAAAAAUUGCCAAACUAAUGAAGUUUCUGAACGUUUAGGAGGUUGUCUACUAAAAGUGGGAGUUUGUACGGGUGGGUAUUCCGGUUCAUUAGUAGCAGGACUAGUAGGUGUAUCAUCUCAAUCUACCGGAGCUUGGGUUUCGUCAUCAUCAUCAUCCUCAUUUCCCUCUAAUAUUGGUUCAUUAGGAUAAAGCAUAUUCAUAAUAUCAUCAUCUAUUCUAUCACCGACUGCUACAUCAUGUANN
This 256-nucleotide long non-coding RNA is filed under the name Nicotiana benthamiana. Its description in RNAcentral is "long non-coding RNA (NBEN_LNC038476)". The record is from RNAcentral. Lineage: Eukaryota; Viridiplantae; Streptophyta; Magnoliopsida; Solanales; Solanaceae.